UGGCGGGUGCUAUACAUGCAGUCGAGCGGACAGAAGGGAGCUUGCUCCCGGAUGUUAGCGGCGGACGGGUGAGUAACACGUGGGUAACCUGCCUGUAAGACUGGGAUAACUCCGGGAAACCGGAGCUAAUACCGGAUAGUUCCUUGAACCGCAUGGUUCAAGGAUGAAAGACGGUUUCGGCUGUCACUUACAGAUGGACCCGCGGCGCAUUAGCUAGUUGGUGGGGUAAUGGCUCACCAAGGCGACGAUGCGUAGCCGACCUGAGAGGGUGAUCGGCCACACUGGGACUGAGACACGGCCCAGACUCCUACGGGAGGCAGCAGUAGGGAAUCUUCCGCAAUGGACGAAAGUCUGACGGAGCAACGCCGCGUGAGUGAUGAAGGUUUUCGGAUCGUAAAGCUCUGUUGUUAGGGAAGAACAAGUGCGAGAGUAACUGCUCGCACCUUGACGGUACCUAACCAGAAAGCCACGGCUAACUACGUGCCAGCAGCCGCGGUAAUACGUAGGUGGCAAGCGUUGUCCGGAAUUAUUGGGCGUAAAGGGCUCGCAGGCGGUUUCUUAAGUCUGAUGUGAAAGCCCCCGGCUCAACCGGGGAGGGUCAUUGGAAACUGGGAAACUUGAGUGCAGAAGAGGAGAGUGGAAUUCCACGUGUAGCGGUGAAAUGCGUAGAGAUGUGGAGGAACACCAGUGGCGAAGGCGACUCUCUGGUCUGUAACUGACGCUGAGGAGCGAAAGCGUGGGGAGCGAACAGGAUUAGAUACCCUGGUAGUCCACGCCGUAAACGAUGAGUGCUAAGUGUUAGGGGGUUUCCGCCCCUUAGUGCUGCAGCUAACGCAUUAAGCACUCCGCCUGGGGAGUACGGUCGCAAGACUGAAACUCAAAGGAAUUGACGGGGGCCCGCACAAGCGGUGGAGCAUGUGGUUUAAUUCGAAGCAACGCGAAGAACCUUACCAGGUCUUGACAUCCUCUGACAACCCUAGAGAUAGGGCUUUCCCUUCGGGGACAGAGUGACAGGUGGUGCAUGGUUGUCGUCAGCUC
Molecule: ribosomal RNA, 1038 nt
Filed under: Bacillus pumilus
Lineage: Bacteria; Bacillati; Bacillota; Bacilli; Caryophanales; Bacillaceae
Description: bacterial SSU rRNA
Rfam family: Bacterial small subunit ribosomal RNA
Source: RNAcentral